GAAAAAUCAAAAUUGGAAGAACUUCUUAAGAAGCAUGUCGAAAUGAUUUUUGAGAUUAAAAAUCUGAACACUGACCUGCAAAUAUUAGUAUAUAAGAAUUACAACAAGUUCAUUAGUGCUACAGAUGCAAUCAAAAGGUAAUUCUUGUGUCGAUACAAGCUUUAACCAUGUUCGUAGUGAAUGUAAUUAUUCUUCUGUCUGAAUAAACAUAUAUGCUGAAAAUUUAUUAAUAGUGGUCAUAACUUUUGUGAAGCACAAUAUUGAGAUGAUGUCCAUGUUAAAACGAUAAUUUGUAAUCUAUUUUCAACUAAUCCAAAUCCAAAUUGGAAACUUCAACAACAAAGGAAGAUUCAAAGAGUUCAAAUUCAAAUUGAGCACUUCAACCUUCAAAUGCUUCAUUCUUUGAAUGGUCAAAUGGAUGAGUUUUUCAAUUCAAUUUGUACACUCAUCUUAUGCAAGCUGGAAAUGAACAUAGGCAGCAAUUUGAUGUUCACUAACAGCUGUAAUCUGGAAAUUACAUGAUGGAGCAGCCAUUUGACACUUCUCAUGUUCAAACACAGCUGCAAUUGAAGACAUAAUAGCUGCAAAUGAUGAAGAAAAACAGCUAUUAUCUAGUUGUGGUUGUAGUAAAUUCUUAGGUCUAGUUUACUCAAUAUUUUCUAUAAAGAUGAAGGCAUCUAUCUAGUGUCAAGUAUGUAGAAAAAGUGAGGAAAAAACCUCUAAAAAAAUAGAGAGAAGAGUAUGCUGUAGCAACUUUUUUGUAAUCCCGAAAUUUCAUUAGUAAAAUCUCAUAUUUCUUCAAUCUCUAUCCUUCUACAUCCAACAGUCUACUCCCUUUAUAAUGUUGAAUUUCUCCUGAUUUUUGAUGCAUUUAUUAUUUCUUUUUGUUAAUCUCAUUUGUUUUCGCUAUUAUUCUAGGAUGAAAAAUAAUAUAAAUAGUAUGGAAGCAAACAUGGAACAGCUUAACGAAAAGGUGUUUGGCAAGGAUCUUUUUGGUUACUACCAAUUGUAGUUUAAAAAAAAAAAAAAAAAAAAGACACGAUGAAAACUUGUUCAAAACAAAAUUCAUCGUAAUUGUUGCAGAUUCUGUCCGUGCAAUCUAGGCGUGAUGGCGUCAAUCCUUCUCUUUUUGCAAAAAAGAGAGCAUGUAGAGAAGCUGCAUUGCACACGCAAUUUACUGCGAAAAGUUCAGGUAAUGUAAUGAGUACCAAUUAGUCUUUAUGUUGAAUUUCCUGCUACAGAUAUCCCAUUGUUAAUUUUGGCAAAAUAAAGAAAGGGUGACUUGUAUAAAGAAGGAACACGGCUGAGUGACUCAUUCUGGUCUCCCCUUUGCUUUGAGAGUUUGAGCAGUAUGAUUAACUUAGGGAAGAAGCAUCUUCCCAUUAUGAGCUGCUCUGAAUUAGAAAAUAUGCAUGAUUGAAGAAUAAGAUUUCAACAUUGUCAGUUUCUUUGAACUGGUGAUUGUUUCCACCAUUGAAGAUAGAUUUUGGCAUGUUUUUACAUCCUGUAAAUUCUGCAUGCAUGAGUUAACACAAAUUUCAUCUUGUGUGAAAAGAGCAGUUUAUUUAUGAUCUAACAACAAGACUUGAGAUGUGUAUCAAAUCGGAAGCCAAUUCUCAUGCUGUCAAGUUCUAUACUGGAGCCAUGCCAAUUUUCAAGGUCGUUAUCUUCUUAAUGAAUGGGAAAGUUUGAAUUUACCAUUUUCUGAGCCCAUCAUUGGUAGUAAUGAUGAUGAACUUCUAUUUUUCAAUUAUAGUUUGUUCUUUUGAGACUCAAACAAGGGCUUAUAC
Molecule: long non-coding RNA, 1790 nt
Filed under: Olea europaea subsp. europaea
Lineage: Eukaryota; Viridiplantae; Streptophyta; Magnoliopsida; Lamiales; Oleaceae
Source: RNAcentral